UAGCCGUAAACGAUGCUCACUAGGUGUAGGGAGUGAUAAACUCUCUGUGCUGAAGCGAACGCGCUAAGUGAGCCGCCUGGGGAGUACGUCCGCAAGGAUGAAACUCAAAGGAAUUGGCGGGGGAGCACCACAACGGGUGGAGCCUGCGGUUUAAUUGGACUCAACGCCGGGAAGCUCACCGGAUAAGACAGCGGAAUGAUUGCCGGGCUGAAGACCCUGCAUGACCAGCUGAGAGGUGGUGCAUGGCGUAGUCGUGU
Molecule: ribosomal RNA, 257 nt
Filed under: uncultured archaeon
Lineage: Archaea
Description: partial 16S ribosomal RNA
Rfam family: Archaeal small subunit ribosomal RNA
Source: RNAcentral